UACGGAGGGUGCAAGCGUUAAUCGGAAUUACUGGGCGUAAAGCGCACGCAGGUGGCUGAGUCAGUCGAUUGUGAAAGCCCUGGGCUUAACCUGGGAAUUGCAGUCGAUACUACUCAGCUAGAGUAUGGGAGAGGGUAGUGGAAUUCCUGGUGUAGCGGUGAAAUGCGCAGAUAUCAGGAGGAACACCGGUGGCGAAGGCGGGUCUCUGGGCCGAUACUGACGCUGAGGAGCGAAAGCGUGGGGAGCGAACAGG
RNAcentral lists this ribosomal RNA (253 nucleotides) under uncultured prokaryote. RNAcentral's name for it is "partial 16S ribosomal RNA". It matches the Rfam family "Bacterial small subunit ribosomal RNA", at positions 524 to 776 of the family's 1533-position model. The record is from RNAcentral.